This 464-nucleotide ribosomal RNA is filed under the name uncultured bacterium. RNAcentral describes it as "partial 16S ribosomal RNA". It matches the Rfam family "Bacterial small subunit ribosomal RNA", at positions 339 to 795 of the family's 1533-position model. The record is from RNAcentral.
CUAUGGGCGGCACCAGUGGGGAAUAUUGCACAAUGGGCGCAAGCCUGAUGCAGCCAUGCCGCGUGUAUGAAGAAGGCCUUCGGGUUGUAAAGUACUUUCAGCGGGGAGGAAGGGAGUAAAGUUAAUACCUUUGCUCAUUGACGUUACCCGCAGAAGAAGCACCGGCUAACUCCGUGCCAGCAGCCGCGGUAAUACGGAGGGUGCAAGCGUUAAUCGGAAUUACUGGGCGUAAAGCGCACGCAGGCGGUUUGUUAAGUCAGAUGUGAAAUCCCCGGGCUCAACCUGGGAACUGCAUCUGAUACUGGCAAGCUUGAGUCUCGUAGAGGGGGGUAGAAUUCCAGGUGUAGCGGUGAAAUGCGUAGAGAUCUGGAGGAAUACCGGUGGCGAAGGCGGCCCCCUGGACGAAGACUGACGCUCAGGUGCGAAAGCGUGGGGAGCAAACAGGAUUAGAUACCCGGGUAGUC